CUUCUCUGCCAGCUUCUUCAGCUCCCUCCUGUACUCCAUCAUCGUCUCCCUGCAAUUGUCAUCGAUUAAUCCGAUGAUGGUCGCGGAGAUUUAUACGAGUUUUUCCUUCCAUCCUUGAAGAGAUCGCGGAAAAAGGGUAGCUCGUCGUACUUACUUGAAGGAUGGAGGGUUGGAGGGCCAGGGCAGGUCGUCCUGGAGGGUGAAGACGUCCUCCCAGUCCAUGUCCUCGAUUUUCUUCAUUGCGAGGCCCUCGCCUUCCUGGUCUACCAGGCGGGCGAGAGCCUUCACUGCGGGGUUGGAUUC
Oryza sativa Japonica Group (Japanese rice) is the source of this 303-nucleotide non-coding RNA. Lineage: Eukaryota; Viridiplantae; Streptophyta; Magnoliopsida; Poales; Poaceae. The record is from RefSeq and is a predicted model, not a curated record.